UGGGGAAUCUUCCGCAAUGGACGAAAGUCUGACGGAGCAACGCCGCGUGUAUGAAGAAGGCCUUCGGGUUGUAAAGUACUGUUGUUGGGGAAGAACGGCAGGAGUGAGAAUAUUGCUUCUGAUUGACGGUACCCAACGAGGAAGCCCCGGCUAACUACGUGCCAGCAGCCGCGGUAAUACGUAGGGGGCAAGCGUUGUCCGGAAUCAUUGGGCGUAAAGGGCGCGUAGGCGGGCUUAUAAGUCUGAUGUGAAAGUGCGGUGCUUAACACCGUAAAGCAUUGGAAACUGUAGGUCUUGAGGACAGGAGAGGAAAGUGGAAUUCCUAGUGUAGCGGUGAAAUGCGUAGAUAUUAGGAGGAACACCAGUGGCGAAGGCGACUUUCUGGACUGUAACUGACGCUGAGGCGCGAAAGCGUGGGGAGCGAACAGG
Molecule: ribosomal RNA, 429 nt
Filed under: uncultured prokaryote
Also listed under: 1 other name
Description: bacterial SSU rRNA
Rfam family: Bacterial small subunit ribosomal RNA
Source: RNAcentral